This 377-nucleotide ribosomal RNA is filed under the name uncultured delta proteobacterium. RNAcentral's name for it is "bacterial SSU rRNA". It matches the Rfam family "Bacterial small subunit ribosomal RNA", at positions 521 to 896 of the family's 1533-position model. The record is from RNAcentral. Lineage: Bacteria; Deltaproteobacteria.
UAAUACGGAGGGGGCAAGCGUUGUUCGGAAUUAUUGGGCGUAAAGCGUGUGUAGGCGGCCGAGUAAGUCAGGCGUGCAAGCCCGUGGCUCAACCACGGAAUUGCGUUUGAAACUACUCGGCUUGAGUACAGGAGAGGAAAGCGGAACUCCCAGUGUAGCGGUGAAAUGCAUUGAUAUUGGGAAGAACAUCUGUGGCGAAGGCGGCUUUCUGGUCUGUUACUGACGCUGAGAUACGAAAGCCAGGGGAGCGAACGGGAUUAGAUACCCCGGUAGUCCUGGCUGUAAACGAUGGGCACUAGGUGCAGGGGGUAUCGAUCCCCUCUGUGCCGUAGCUAACGCAUUAAGUGCCCCGCCUGGGGAGUACGGUCGCAAGGCUG